This 88-nucleotide transfer RNA is filed under the name Methylacidimicrobium sp. AP8. RNAcentral describes it as "tRNA-Ser". It matches the Rfam family "tRNA". From Rfam's summary of the family: Transfer RNA (tRNA) molecules are approximately 80 nucleotides in length. Their secondary structure includes four short double-helical elements and three loops (D, anti-codon, and T loops). The record is from RNAcentral. Lineage: Bacteria; Pseudomonadati; Verrucomicrobiota.
GGACAGGUGCCAGAGCGGUUGAUUGGGCACGCCUGGAGAGCGUGUGGUCGCCAAAAGCGGCCCGAGGGUUCGAAUCCCUCCCUGUCCG